Molecule: long non-coding RNA, 382 nt
Organism: Nicotiana tabacum (common tobacco)
Lineage: Eukaryota; Viridiplantae; Streptophyta; Magnoliopsida; Solanales; Solanaceae
Source: RefSeq, a predicted model, not a curated record
AACACUUAUUCCAUUUGUCACUUCCCCCGAUUCCUAAUUCUUUGUGUAUGAUGAUGAUUUCAUAUUCUCACAUAUAUCACCUCAUCUCAACCCUAGGAAGUAAAAUGAGGGUGUGAGAGAUGGGAUCCAUUCUUCGUCGUCUCAGGUGUCGGUCCUUUUUGUGCAGUUGUUGUCGUUAUCUUUUUCUCAGUCGAUGGUAUUAAGAAGAACUCAAUGAGAAUAGAGAAGGGCUUUGUGAACAAAAUUAUUGAAAGGAUUGAAUAUAGUCGCUGGUGUUGGUGAAAUACACGAAUAAAGAGACUAGGAUUCUACCACGAGUACUUUUGCCACCAGUAAAGGCCAUUGCAGGAUCUGUUAUCAAAAUUUGCUUACGUCCUCUCUA